UGCCAGCAGCCGCGGUAACACGAACUGCGCGAACGUUAUUCGGAAUCACUGGGCUUAAAGAGUUCGUAGGCGGUCUAGUAGGUGAGGUGUGAAAGCCCUCGGCUCAACCGAGGAAUUGCGCUUCAAACCACUAGACUUGAGGGAGGCAGAGGUGAGUGGAACUGAUGGUGGAGCGGUGAAAUGCGUUGAUAUUAUCAGGAACACCAGUGGCGAAGGCGACUCACUGGGCCUCUUCUGACGCUGAGAACGGAUAGCUAGUCGGGCGAACGGGAUUAGAUA
This 279-nucleotide ribosomal RNA is filed under the name uncultured bacterium. Its description in RNAcentral is "partial 16S ribosomal RNA". It matches the Rfam family "Bacterial small subunit ribosomal RNA", at positions 506 to 784 of the family's 1533-position model. The record is from RNAcentral.